RNAcentral lists this ribosomal RNA (813 nucleotides) under uncultured bacterium. RNAcentral describes it as "bacterial SSU rRNA". It matches the Rfam family "Bacterial small subunit ribosomal RNA", at positions 102 to 916 of the family's 1533-position model. The record is from RNAcentral.
ACGGGUGAGUAACGCGUAUCCAACCUUCCCUAUAGUAGAGAAUAGCCCGGCGAAAGUCGGAUUAAUGCUCUAUGUUGUAUUUAGAAGACAUCUGAAGAAUACCAAAGGUUUACCGCUAUAGGAUGGGGAUGCGUCUGAUUAGGUAGUAGGCGGGGUAACGGCCCACCUAGCCGACGAUCAGUAGGGGUUCUGAGAGGAAGGUCCCCCACAUUGGAACUGAGACACGGUCCAAACUCCUACGGGAGGCAGCAGUGAGGAAUAUUGGUCAAUGGACGGAAGUCUGAACCAGCCAAGUAGCGUGCAGGAUGACGGCCCUAUGGGUUGUAAACUGCUUUUAUAUAGGGAUAAAGUCGGGGACGUGUCCCCGUUUGUAGGUACUAUAUGAAUAAGGACCGGCUAAUUCCGUGCCAGCAGCCGCGGUAAUACGGAAGGUCCAGGCGUUAUCCGGAUUUAUUGGGUUUAAAGGGAGCGCAGGCUGAUGAUUAAGCGUGACGUGAAAUGUAGCCGCUCAACGGCUGAACUGCGUCGCGAACUGGUUAUCUUGAGUGAGUUCGAUGUUGGCGGAAUUCGUGGUGUAGCGGUGAAAUGCUUAGAUAUCACGAAGAACUCCGAUUGCGAAGGCAGCCAACAAGGCCUUUACUGACGCUAAAGCUCGAAGGUGCGGGUAUCGAACAGGAUUAGAUACCCUGGUAGUCCGCACGGUAAACGAUGGAUGCCCGCUGUUUGCGAUAUACUGUGAGCGGCCAAGAGAAAUCGUUAAGCAUCCCACCUGGGGAGUACGCCGGCAACGGUGAAACUCAAAUGAAUUGACGG